CGGGUUUGAGAGGACGAUCCGCCACACUGGAACUGAGACACGGUCCAGACUCCUACGGGAGGCAGCAGUGGGGAAUAUUGCACAAUGGAGGAAACUCUGAUGCAGCAACGCCGCGUGGAGGAUGACACAUUUCGGUGCGUAAACUCCUUUUAUAUGGGAAGAUAAUGACGGUACCAUAUGAAUAAGCACCGGCUAACUCCGUGCCAGCAGCCGCGGUAAUACGGAGGGUGCAAGCGUUACUCGGAAUCACUGGGCGUAAAGCGCGCGCAGGCGGCUAUUUAAGUUGGAUGUGAAAGCCUACGGCUCAACCGUAGAACUGCAUCCAAAACUAUUAGACUAGAGUGUGGGAGAGGAAGAUGGAAUUAGUUGUGUAGGGGUAAAAUCCGUAGAGAUAACUAGGAAUACCAAAAGCGAAGGCAAUCUUCUGGAACACUACUGACGCUGAGGCGCGAAAGCGUGGGGAGCAAACAGGAUUAGAUACCCUGGUAGUCCACGCAGUAAACGAUGAAUGUUAGUCGUCGGGGGCCUAGUGUCUUCGGUGAUGCAGCUAACGCAUUAAACAUUCCGCCUGGGGAGUACGGUCGCAAGAUUAAAACUCAAAGGAAUAGACGGGGACCCGCACAAGUGGUGGAGCAUGUGGUUUAAUUCGAAGAUACGCGAAGAACCUUACCAAGCCUUGACAUUGAUUGAAUUCACCAGAGAUGGAGAAGUGCCUUUCGGGGAACAUGAAAACAGGUGCUGCACGGCUGUCGUCAGCUCGUGUCGUGAGAUGUUGGGUUAAGUCCCGCAACGAGCGCAACCCUCGUCGUUAGUUGCUAACAGUUCGGCUGAGCACUCUAGCGAGACUGCCUUCGCAAGGAGGAGGAAGGUGAGGACGACGUCAAGUCAUCAUGGCCCUUAUGGCUAGGGCUACACACGUGCUACAAUGGGGCGUACAGAGAGUUGCGAUACCGCGAGGUGGAGCCAAUCUCAUAAAGCGUCUCUCAGUUCGGAUAGCAGUCUGCAACUCGACUGCUUGAAGCUGGAAUCACUAGUAAUCGUAGAUCAGCAAUGCUACGGUGAAUACGUUCCCGGGUCUUGUACUCACCGCCCGUCACACCAUGGGAGUUGAUUUCACCCGAAAUUGGGA
RNAcentral lists this ribosomal RNA (1129 nucleotides) under uncultured deep-sea bacterium. Its description in RNAcentral is "bacterial SSU rRNA". It matches the Rfam family "Bacterial small subunit ribosomal RNA", at positions 287 to 1432 of the family's 1533-position model. The record is from RNAcentral.